GUCAGCAUGUGUCUGCCUCGCCUGCGUCAAGCGCAGUGUCCGACCUACGAUGUAACAGUGGCGACGAGAAACGGAAAGCAAAAACCCUGGCAAAACCUUGAAGCGCAGGACGGCAGCUACGCUACGGGGCGACGACUCGACGAUGGCACACCAGCAACUGCCCGACUUCGACGACGAAAGAGACAACUGGAAAGCCUAUGUUAUCAAGGCAGAGGCAUACUUUGAGGCAACGGGUGUGAAGGAGUCGGCAAAGAAACGGGCACUUUUGGUGGCAGCUUUAAGCACGCGCACCGUUCAAAUAUUAGCAGGACGAGUAGCGCCGAAGAAGCCGAAUUCUUUGGAAUACGAAGACGUCGUGAAAGUCUUGGACGAGUUUUUUUUAUCCCAAGCGCCAUGAGAUUACCGAAAGCUUUCGCUUCUUCAACCGCUGCCAGCUUGACGGCCGAGAAUUCAUCCUGGUCACAGAUCACCAGCCGCUCCUGGGCCUGCUGAUCGAGACCGCAUCGGCCCACUACGCCUCUGGCUGCUGCUCGCAUA
Long non-coding RNA from Dermacentor albipictus, 537 nucleotides. RefSeq lists it as uncharacterized. The record is from RefSeq and is a predicted model, not a curated record. Lineage: Eukaryota; Metazoa; Arthropoda; Arachnida; Ixodida; Ixodidae.